This 528-nucleotide ribosomal RNA is filed under the name Theileria mutans. RNAcentral describes it as "SSU rRNA". Lineage: Eukaryota; Apicomplexa; Aconoidasida; Piroplasmida; Theileriidae. The record is from RNAcentral.
AGUGACAAGAAAUAACAAUACGGGGCUUAACGCCUUGUAAUUGGAAUGAUGGGAACCUUAACCCCUUCCAGAGUAUCAAUUGGAGGGCAAGUCUGGUGCCAGCAGCCGCGGUAAUUCCAGCUCCAAUAGCGUAUAUUAAAAUUGUUGCAGUUAAAAAGCUYGUAGUUGAAUUUCUGCCGCAUCGYGGCGGCCCUCCCGGGCCCAGCGUUGCGKCUUAUUUCRGACUCGCUUGCGUCUCCGAAUGUUUACUUUGAGAAAAUWARAGUGCUCAAAGCAGGCCCUUGCCUUGAAUACUUUAGCAUGGAAUAAWAAAGUARGACUUUACUUCUAUUUUGUUGGUUUAGCGCCAAAGUAAUGGUUAAUAGGAACAGUUGGGGGCAUUCGGAUUUAACUGUCAAAUGUGAAAUUCUAAAAUCUUAGAUCUGAGUGAGUUGUAACACCUCACUCAAAGGAGGGAGCGGGUUUUUUUUAAUCAAGCACCACCCCCCAAUGAACAUGUGAGACAAGGCCAUUUUCACCACGAACCGU